Mus musculus (house mouse) is the source of this 4387-nucleotide RNA transcript. It is a transcript of the gene named Fanconi anemia, complementation group C, with no coding region annotated. The record is from RefSeq and is marked validated. Lineage: Eukaryota; Metazoa; Chordata; Mammalia; Rodentia; Muridae. The transcript is spliced from 16 exons.
UAUAUAAAAACUUAUUUUAUAUGUUCUGUUCCUCUAGAGAACCCUGAUUGAUACAUAAGGGCACAGACUUUAAGUUUUAAAGGUCUUGUAUUACAUUUUAAAAAUUAAAUUCUUUGGAGAAGUUUUGCUAUGACAUGUAGGUUAAAACUGUACUUUGAAAACUACCAGAGAAUUGUUUGUUUGAUGUAUAUUAAGUGUUUGUCAGCCAUGUUACAUUCUAGGAAGGCAGAGAAGUGACAUGCCAGCAAAGGAAGGUAUAACUGAGUAAAUUAAUAAAUGCACAGAGUACUUAACACGAGUGAAGACCUAUCAAGACAUCAGGGAAAUGAUCUGGAAGCGGGGGCGGGGUGUGUGUGUGGGGGGUGUUAGUUGUAUUCCAGAACAUGUCUGAAGCUGGCCUGGCUGUGUGCCAUGCUGGGGACCAGAAGCAAGGGAGGCCUGAGAGUGCAGUGCCUGGAGACUCCCACAAAGAGUUGGUGGGUUCUGUAGUGUGUUGUGUCCUUUCCCUCCCCGUCCCCUGCUGAGCUGGAUUUCUUUCUAAAGAAGCUGUGAAAAAGAGAAGGAGUGUUAAGUGUGUAGUGUGUGUGACUUACAUGUACAGAAGUUGUUUUUUGUGUUUGUAGGGUUUAUAAAGGAGCGCACAAGACCUGCAGAUACUUGUGACAAUCCAGGAGGGAGGUGGAAGGAAUUCGUGAAGUUCCACAUUAUUUUAUGGGUAGGGUUUUAUAGAUGGCUUUGAUGAGGACAGUGAGAGAAAGGGAGGCACCAGGUGUAAGUUACAGCUCUGAGGAGAAAGGGUUCCCUAGUACAAGUGUUGCAGCUCUGAAGAGAAAGGUGUCUGGACAGGAGGGAGCCAAUGAAUACCACAUAGUCACACUGUACAACAAACCUCAGAGAAGAGAUUUAUUGUGAAAGACACAACUAAGUGGCUUCCUCUUCCUGAAUGAGAAGCAGCAAAGAGAUCUGACCAGGAGUCCGGCUUUAUAUAGGCUUUCUUGGGGGUUGGAGGAGAUGAGGCAGUCCAGGUGGCUUGGGAUUGGUGGAAUUCUGUGGCCUGGUCUUGGGAAGCUCAGGGAUUGUUGAGAUUCUGUGGCCCGAUCUUGGGCUAUUUUUUUUUUUUUUUUUCCUUUGUAGGGUAGAGCUUGGCCACCAGAGUCUUAAGGGGCUAGAAGUGGCUGUUACACUUUGGGUGGGGGAUACAGGAGUGGGAGGUGGGGGUGGCAGGUCUUGGCCACUGAGACCUGGAAGGGUUUGCACCAGGUCUAUAAUGCAGACCAAUGGUUUCUAAAUGCCAUUUUGGCAGUGUGCAUGUGUGUCCUGUGUUAGUAGCUUCCUGUUGGCUCCCACUUUGGUUGAGUCUUUAGAACUUCAAAUGCCACUUUGAAUCCCCAUGCUUAGUUGUCACCUCCAGUUUCUUUGGCUGUUCUGCUUGGGAGAAGGCCAUCUUCCUUUGAGGGUUGGCACCUAGUAGGAGAAAUGUUUUACAUUACUCAUUAUGCUAAGUGCAGUCCGUUGAGGUGAGAGCUCUGCAUGCUCUCCUGUCCCAGGGAUGCUCAGGGGUCUGAGAGGAACUGCCCUUCUCUACAGGGGCACUAUGGGCACUGGAUUGAAGGGAGCCCUGGUGUCCAGGGGCCUAGCUCUUCCACACCCUGACGAGGCUGCUGUGAAGGGACAGUGCUGCUCUCAGAGAUGGCUCAGGAGUCUGCAGACCUUGCUUCUGACUGUCAGUCUUGGCUGCAGAAGCUUUCUGCAUGGGAACAGGCCUCUUCUGAGGAAACCCAGAAGGACACUUGUCUUCACUUGUCCGGGUUCCAGGAGUUCCUGAGGCAGAUGUAUGAAAUCUUGAAGGAGAUGGAUUCUGAUGCAAUCCUGGAAAGGUUCCCCACAAUUGGUCAACUGUUGGCAAAAGCUUGUUGGAAUCCUCUCAUCUUAGCAUAUGAUGAAAGCCAAAAAAUUGUAAUAUGGUGCUUAUGUUGUCUGAUGAACAAAGAACCUCGGACUUCUGCAGAGUCAGGACUUAACUCGUGGAUCCGGGUCUGGGCUGUGCUGUUGGAGUUGCAAGCAGAGUUUCAGGGUUUGUUAUCUCAUGUACUUUCUGCAUUCAGAUUCGACAUGAAAGAAGUUUGUCUUUUUACCAAAAGUCUUGGAUAUGAGUCUAUUGAUUACUAUCCUAGUUUGCUUAAAAAUAUGGUUUUGUCAUUAGUGUCUGAGCUCAGAGAGAGUCAUCUUAAUGGACUGAGCACUCAAAGUCGGAUGGCUCCUGAGCGCAUGAUGUCCCUGUCAGAAGUUUGUGUCCCUCUUGUCACUCUGCCUGAUAUGGAACCCCUGGUAGAGGCUCUACUCACCUACCAUGGACAUGAGCCCCAGGAAGUCCUGGCUCCUGAGUUCUUCGAAGCUGUAAAUGAGGCCUUCUUGUCGGAAAAAAUUGUUCUACCCACGUCCUCUGUGGUCAGCCUCUGGUUUCGGCAUCUCCCCAGUCUUGAAAAAGCAACGCUGCAUCUUUUUGAAAAGCUUUUCUCCAGCAAGAUAAUUUGCCUGAGAAGGAUGGAGUGCUGUAUAAGAGAGUCAUUCCUGCCUCAAGCAGCCUGCCAACCUGCCAUCUUCAGAAUUGUUGAUGAAAUGUUCAGGUUUGUGCUGCUGGAAACUGACGGAGCCCCAGAAGUACUAGCUGCUCUUCAGGUUUUCACAUCGUGCUUGGUAGAAGCUCUGAAAAAAGAAAACAAGCAGGUACCUCACCCGGGGGAUGCUGCUUAGUCACUUCAGAGUGAAGCCGGCUACUGCUGCUACAGGCAUUUGCUGACGUUUGCCCUCAGGACCUACUUUCCUUACGGUGCUCCAUGUCUUGCUGCAGCGCUGUCCCAGCACCCUGAAGCAAUCCCACAGGGACACCGGCUCCAGCCUCUGCUGCACAUUUCCCAACUCCUCAGAGAAGCAGUUGAAGACUGUACUCGUGGGUCUCCGCGAAAUCCCUUUGAGAGCUGGUUUUUGUUUGUUCACUUUGGAGGAUGGGUUGACCUGGCUGUGGCAGAGUUACUGCUGAGGGAGGAAGCUGAGCCUCCUGCUGGCCUGCUGUGGCUCUUGGUGUUCUAUUACAGCCCACAGGAUGGGAGUCAGCAGAGAGAGCAGAGCAUGGUGGAGCUGAAGGUAUUAAUCAACCGUCUCCUGAUGCUGCUCAGAAGCGGCCCCCUCUCAGCUACUGAUCUGCAGGAAGCAGCUGAGAGUCCCAGUGGAGACCCCAGACCACCUGUAUGUGGACAGCUGGUCAGACGCCUUCUUCUUAGUCUCUUGCUCUGGACCCCAGAAGGCCAUGCAAUUGUCUGGGAAGCUGUCACCCAUAUGGCCCACACGGAUGCUGUAAUCCAUGAGAUUAUUGGUUUUCUUGACCAGACCUUGUACAGAUCACAACAUCUUUGUGUUGAAGCCUCGAGAAAACUGGCCAGAGACCUCCUAAAGGAGCUGCAAGCCCAGGUCUAGCAGGUAGUACAGAAUGUGGGCACCUGCGGUGAAGCUCCCUCAGUGGAUGAGAUGCUGUUUCUGAGGCAAGAACAAGUGAGAGUGGUUGAACAUAUUCGUGCCUUGGCCUGAUGGAGUGAUGUGUACCACCUCCCACGCUGUACUGCCUGGCCCCGGCGGUCCAUGAGUAUUAUGAAGGGAAGGGCCCAGACUGCCUGUUAGGUUCCAGCCAUUCAUAAGAGCUAGCACUGGCUGGUGUGCUGACUCUCUUUAUCCUUCCCUCUCUAGUGAAGGUGUGGGGGAUGCCCAGUAGCAGGAGACAUGAGCCCUGUAGUGGAUGAGGCUGUACCGUACAGAUGAGCACCUGCCUCACCGGUGACUGUCGCUCAGUGAGGCCUUUGUUCCUCAGUGCAGAAAUGCUGCAAGGCACCCACUAUAGUGGAAGGAAUGAGAGGUGGCCAGAGAAGGGUCAUUCCUUCCUCCUCCUCUAAACCCCCAAAAGGCAAAACACAUCUGCUUCCCUAUGUCUAGUAAACAGGAUUUGGAAACUGAGAGUGAGUCCUUGUCCUCCUGCACUUGCUGUGGGUGGGGAUGACGGGCAUGGCUGUUGUUUUCUAGUGAGAAUAUAUACAAGUGAGCAGUGUGUGGGCUGUGACCCUCCUGCACAUCUGCUAUGAGAACCCUUGCCCCAUGUGAAAUCAGCUUCAAUUCUCACAGUAGGACAUUUGAUGACUGCACUCAGGCUGUCUAGGGGGGUUGUGGCAUAAAGUCAUGAAGGCCUGGGUUUUCUCUUGCAUCUGCACAUCCAGGCUUUGCCGGGCAAACACUGACUGGCAGUGGAUUCGUCUUUUACCCACCUGCUGAUGGGCUCACAGUGGAGUGGAGCUGGACUUUCUACUUUUUCAUUCUGAAUAAAAAGUUGUACUUAAUUUUA